RNAcentral lists this unclassified non-coding RNA (192 nucleotides) under uncultured Trechisporales. RNAcentral's name for it is "sequence contains ITS1". Lineage: Eukaryota; Fungi; Basidiomycota; Agaricomycetes; Trechisporales. The record is from RNAcentral.
UCGUAUUCAAACCGGGGCGGUCGGGUGCGCCCUGCACCGGCGGCGACGCCGUGCUGCGGGUCCCCGGCCCCCUCUUCCAAACCAAACCCCUGUGCACCUUUUGGGAAAGGCUGGUGCGAGCCGGCCCGCCCCUCUUCACAAACUCUUGUUUCGUUCAGAAUGCAUGCGGACUCGUCCGCCUAAACAAAAGAA